UACGUAGGGCGCGAGCGUUGUCCGGAAUUAUUGGGCGUAAAGAGCUCGUAGGCGGCCUGUUGCGUCUGCUGUGAAAUCCCGGGGCUUAACCCCGGGCGUGCAGUGGAUACGGGCAGGCUGGAGGCAGGCAGGGGAGAAUGGAAUUCCCGGUGUAGCGGUGAAAUGCGCAGAUAUCAGGAGGAACACCGGUGGCGAAGGCGGUUCUCUGGGCCUGUACUGACGCUGAGGAGCGAAAGCGUGGGGAGCGAACAGG
This 253-nucleotide ribosomal RNA is filed under the name uncultured bacterium. RNAcentral's name for it is "partial 16S ribosomal RNA". It matches the Rfam family "Bacterial small subunit ribosomal RNA", at positions 524 to 776 of the family's 1533-position model. The record is from RNAcentral.